This is a non-coding RNA of Pelobates cultripes (western spadefoot toad), 4524 nucleotides long. NCBI's taxonomy places the organism in Eukaryota, Metazoa, Chordata, Amphibia, Anura, Pelobatidae. The record is from the annotation of a GenBank genome assembly.
CAAAAGGACUGUUUUCCCAUGGUUCCCAGACCUUCUGAAAUGCUUUAGUGACCCCUCUCACACUAGCCAUCAGGUCAUCCAUCAGGUGUAUCUCUCUGACUCUGUUUAUCACCCCUGUAAUGUUGGGGAUACCCUGUUUAAGUCAGACAAAAGCUACAGCCCUUCGUGCAGCCAGGGCUAUUUUGUGAAUAUGUUUCUGUUUGUUCCUGGUCCACCCUUCAGUAGAUCUAUUUUGAUAGAUAUAUCCAGGGGUCUAGGAUGGGUUAAGUCUAUCUGCUUGAAUCUUUGCAAGUAUCUUUAUAUCGUGGUUUAUGAGCGAAAUGGGUCUACCUCCACUGUUCUACCCAGAAGUGGGUAACCGACAACUGUUCUCACACUUCAGAGGUUCGGAUAGAGGCCGCGGGAUUCGAGGCUGGGCGGCAGCAUGCUUCUCUUCAGGUAAGCCAGGACUUCACUCAUUCACCAAUAUGUCUCCUUACUGCAGGCCGUAUUUCCCUUUUUUCCAAAACUGGGCCAACAUCACGGUGAGUGGGUACUGCAGCCCUCUUUGAGCCAUCAAUUUCUCAGUGGACAGCUCUUGUCUUAUCGACUUGGAGCUUCGAGAGCUCAGGCUCAACUGUGCAAUCCAACAGGCCAUGGAUCUUGGAGGAUUUUUCAGCAGCAUCUUCCUCAUGGAUGGUUAUCAACCUCCGAGACUUCAAUGCUAGUGUGGUGUACCACCAUUUCAAAAUGGAAGGUAUCCACCUCUUGCGAGACUUCCUUCAGGAUAAUGACUGUUUCACAAGACUGGAUCUGAAAGGUGCGUAUCUCUCUGGCUGUCAGUUUCUCCGAUUCCUGUGGCAUGGUCAACCAUGGCAAUUUACUUGCCUCCUAUUCGGACUCAGCUCUGCUCCUUGGUGCUUCACCGGUGAUCGUACACCUACGCUCCAGAGGUAAUUGCUGCAUAGUUUACCUAGACGACAUCCUUCUCUUCUGUUUUGAGCGGUUCAGACUACAACAACACACUCAAUUUACGGUGGAACUGUGGUGAACUGACCGAUCGGCACUGGUUCCAUCUGAAACGGUCCAAUUCCUAGGAUUCGAGAUCGACUCCACAUCCUGCACUCCUCUCGUCCUCCACUCAGGCAAUAUUCCCAGGCCCAGUGCACUACUGGGCCUGGGAAUAUUGCCUCAAGGCAAAGUUUCUUUGUCAGAGCCCCACCUACGAUCAACUUGUGCCGGUAAUGGACAAGGUUUGGGAGGAACUCCAUGGUGGCUAGACAGCAUGCAGGUCUGGAACGGCUGAGCCAUUUUCAGAGACAAAUUGAAUUUUGUCCUAGAUUCCAAUGCUAGCUUGUAGGGCUGGAGCACGACCAGUGCAGAAACGUCCAUGGAGGGCGUAUGGACAGCCCAUGAACGCUCGCUGCACAUAAAAUGCCUGUAACUACUGGCGGGCUCGUUUGCCAUUCACAAUCUAGCCCGAGAGAAGUCAGACUAUUGCAUUCAGAUGAGGAUGGACAACGUGUCAGCUUCUCGCAACAAGCCUCAAACUCUGCAGUUCUUAAGUUGGCUGCCAGAUCCAUAGUGCAAGGUGGUGGACACCUUCCUACAGAGCUGGCCAGCCCAGGGGGCCUGCACAUUUCCGCCAUUCACAAUGAUUGUGUGGACCCUCCAUCAUGUCUGGACGCAACGGGUGAAGGUGUCAUGCAAAGAUCCUCCUCCUGCUAUCCUUACCCAACUCUCCUCACAAACCCGAAUGGAAACUCUCACCCCUUGCUACUGGCAGAUUUUUUUCCCCAGGUGGCUUUGACUCUUUCCCCCUGGCAGGUUGGCAAACUAUUGCAGGCUGCAAUGGACCUCCUGUGGGAUUCCUGGGCCCCAGGGAUGAGAUGUUGUUACCUCUCCACUUGGGCAUCCUGGUCCGCUUGGUGCGUGGAAGGAACCUCUAUCAACGCAUGCACCUAUACCCUCCAUUCUGAAUUUUCUCUUGUUUCUCUUUUUCUGUGGGCCGAUCCAAUUGGUCUAUUAACACCGUUCAUUCAGCUAUUUUGGCGGUUCACGUUUCGGUUCGGGAAGUUCUGGUUGGCAAGGUCUCUCUUAUUUGUCGUUUGCUUCAGGGGAUGCGUCUAAGACCCUACUACUCAAUGCUUUGGGAUGUUGGUGUUGUUCUCCUUUGGGGCAAAUUUAUAUUUCUUCUCUGUUUGGUCUCCUUUAGGAGUCUUUUAGACGUUCAGGCGUUUGAUGUAGAUAUUACUUCCCUUUUACAGACUUCCAGACAACUUCUUGUGUCCUACUUCAGGCCAUAUAAUCCUGUGUUGGUCACCACUCUGGCUAGGUGGAUUCGGUGGAUUUUAUCUCUUGUGAGUGUGGACCUCUCGUUUGGUGCGGAUUCGGUGCAGAGUGCGUUGGCUUCAUCUGCAUUUUUCGGCAGGUACAUCGCUGGCGGAUAUCUUGCUUCCUGUGUAUUGGUUUCGGGAGACUACGUUCUGUACUUUUUAUUUCCGUCCUUCUUCUAAUGCUGCAUUUGCCUUACUUCCUCACCAUUAAAAUUGCAAAAUAGGAAUCCUCCUGUCAUGUUGUAAAAUUAAAGAUUAUGCUAUCUUUAGUGUACUAAUAAUCUUAAAUUUAAUAUUGACAGGAGGCAAGUAUUUUCUCAGCCAUUUUCCCUCCCUUGCUUUUUUGGGUUCUCUUUUCUGUAAGAACUUCUUUUUCAGCUAUUCUCGCCUUGAAUUCUUUCUGUGCUAUUUGUUUAACUGUGUCGUUGUAGACUACAAUUUAUUGUUCAUGUACUUGUUUAUCAUUUUUUUCUAGUUAUGUAUUAUUAUCAUAGCUAGUUUGAUUAUUUUACUCAGUUUUGUGUUGGCUCUUUGCUUUUCACCAUCUCUGGACUAGUGUCUAACAUGUUGCACAUUCUAUUUUCAGUUUGAAUCCACUCAGAAGUCUUAUUUGUUUUCGGCUGAUUCCGAUGGUUGUUCUGCUGGACUGUGAUUCUUGAUGUUUAUUGCUAUGCUUUUUUCUUUUUGCUGCUGAUGUUGUUUUCAGAAAGAGGAGGUACUUAUAUAAGAAUCACUAUAACUCUUAUAUACCUUGUUACACAUUCAUUGGUUCUUUUGUUCUAUAAGUUUUCUUUGCUGCUGUGUAGUAAAGAGAGUUUAUGCAAACUAUUCGUCAUUAUUACAAUUAAGAUUAUUAGUACACUAAAGCUAGCAUAAUCUUCAAUUUUGGGUUACAAGCACUAACUCCUUGAAGGGGUUAACCCUAAAUCUAAACAUACAUAAAAGAGAAAAGGAGGAAUAGAUCAAUGGCAACCCAGCUCAUGCGCUGAAUGUAUUAAGGAGAAGGAUAGGGUUGAGGUAGUUUUGGUAUGGGAGACACAUGAUGAGUACGCAUUCAUGCAUCAUGCUUUAUAGCUGGAACCUUUUGAACUGACUCUCUCUGUCUAGAUUACUGGUAUAGAUUGAGGUUGAAGGUCAAUUUAUGGCUUUUUUUGUUCCUGCUCUCCCUCAAUCUUCCAAUUUAAACCAUCAAUGGCUUAGUACUACCUCUAGUCUACAAAAAUGUUUAUGGACAGAUGUAAUUUAGUGUAUUUUUCUUUCUCUCCUUGUGACUGUAUGUUGAAUGGUCAAAUGGGCUUGCUAAGUAUUGAGAACACGUGUAAGUAAGUUAGUCCAUUCUCAGUACUUUUAGAGGGGCUCAGGUAGAUUAGAUGUUUAUUGUUUAUUCAUGUCUUCCUUUGUUGCAUCUACUACUUGUUUUUAAAGUUCUCUGUCCAGUUAUAUCAUUAUAAUGAAGCAUAUCUGUCUAUUGAUAGAAGCUGUCUAUUGGAUAGAUACUCUUCCCACAUUUGAUACACCUAUUUUGUUUUGGAUACCACUUUGUAUUUAGAGGAGUCCCACUUUUAAAGUCUAUAAUAAAGAUUGAGUGUCAGUCGGCAGGUAAGAUGUGAAACCAUUCUUAAAUGGUCCUUAAAUGGGUGUAUUUAGUGUACUCGUGGCAUCAUGACCAAAACAGCACACUACUUUUGUCCAUUUUUUAAAACUUGAUGCCAACUGACAACAAUUUAAUUUUAACAUAAUACAUCCCCAGCUAAUUUGGUUACAAAAUACAUUGCUACAGACUUCUAAUGCUGACUGCUGAACACGGCUCUAAGUGCUCAAGAAAAUGUGUUAGUGAAAUUGUCAUAGAUGCAUUAAUUAUUUGAACGUUGUUGUAACACCACAGUUCACAACAUCAUUGGUGUAAAGUAAGCAUGUUCUAUUCUAGAUGCCGGAUGAACAGCUAGUAUUCAGACACAAUACAAGAAAACUGAGCAAUGAAUAUAAAUGAUAUCUGGGGUAAGGUUAAAAAUAAAAGUGCAGAAAAUUAUAUACUAGACAUGUGCAAUUCGUUUUGUUCCUAAUGUCAAUUCGGACGAAUUUCAGGCAAUUCGGACAUUCGGAUACUUCCGAAUGUCCGAAUAGCUGAUUUGCCGAAGUUACGAAAUGGCCAAAGUGGCAAAGUUCCGAAAUGCGAAGUUCCGAAGCACAGUAUUGCCGAAGUACUAAU